This 461-nucleotide ribosomal RNA is filed under the name Prevotella melaninogenica. RNAcentral describes it as "bacterial SSU rRNA". It matches the Rfam family "Bacterial small subunit ribosomal RNA", at positions 28 to 476 of the family's 1533-position model. The record is from RNAcentral. Lineage: Bacteria; Pseudomonadati; Bacteroidota; Bacteroidia; Bacteroidales; Prevotellaceae.
GAUGAACGCUAGCUACAGGCUUAACACAUGCAAGUCGAGGGGAAACGGCAUUGAGUGCUUGCACUCUUUGGACGUCGACCGGCGCACGGGUGAGUAACGCGUAUCCAACCUUCCCAUUACUGUGGGAUAACCUGCCGAAAGGCAGACUAAUACCGCAUAGUCUUCGAUGACGGCAUCAGAUUUGAAGUAAAGAUUUAUCGGUAAUGGAUGGGGAUGCGUCUGAUUAGCUUGUUGGCGGGGUAACGGCCCACCAAGGCGACGAUCAGUAGGGGUUCUGAGAGGAAGGUCCCCCACAUUGGAACUGAGACACGGUCCAAACUCCUACGGGAGGCAGCAGUGAGGAAUAUUGGUCAAUGGACGGAAGUCUGAACCAGCCAAGUAGCGUGCAGGAUGACGGCCCUAUGGGUUGUAAACUGCUUUUGUAUGGGGAUAAAGUUAGGGACGUGUCCCUAUUUGCAGGU